UACAGAGGGUGCGAGCGUUAAUCGGAUUUACUGGGCGUAAAGGGCGCGUAGGCGGUUAGUUAAGAUAGCUGUGAAAUCCCUGGGCUUAACCUAGGAACUGCAGCUGUGACUGGCUAGCUAGAGUACUGUAGAGGGUAGUGGAAUUUCCGGUGUAGCGGUGAAAUGCGUAGAGAUCGGAAGGAACACCAGUGGCGAAGGCGGCUCACUGGCCCGAUACUGACGCUGAGGCACGAAAGCGUGGGGAGCAAACAGG
RNAcentral lists this ribosomal RNA (253 nucleotides) under uncultured bacterium. RNAcentral describes it as "partial 16S ribosomal RNA". It matches the Rfam family "Bacterial small subunit ribosomal RNA", at positions 524 to 776 of the family's 1533-position model. The record is from RNAcentral.